GCAACAGCGUCCCGGCAACAGCAGAAGGCGGAAGUAGAGCGGGGUGUUGCCAUCACCGGUGACUCUGCUUCCCGCCUCCGCUGGGCGGCAUAUAACGUCUGCAGGUGCCGGAGCCAGAGCCCGCAAGGAGAUGCGUCCGGGAUAGGCAGAAUCCGCUUGGAGUGGAGUGACGGCGAGAAGGGGAAUUAAAAAGUUAUCUUAGAAGAGAAAAUCCAGCCAGAUGAGAUGAAGCUUUUCCCAGUGACACUGUUUUCCAGAAGCUGUGUGAAUACAUCCCAGAUGCUCGUCCCUCUUUAAAGCAGGCAUUUCUUAUGCCUGAUGAAGGAAAGAAUGUUCCUGCAGGUGCAUUCCAAGUUUUCCCCAAAGCAGAAUAUAAGUUGUACUUCAGUCAAGAAACCAGCCUGUUUGUCUUUUGCAAGCUGAGUUUGUCUAUCCUGUUCUUGAGGUCAAGAGAGCUUUCUUUUUGUGCUGGGAAGAACAGAUCUUUCAGAUGUUCCCUGAAGUUAUCUUUGCUGAGAUGUCCAAUGACAUUUUUACACAGAAACUACAAGAGAGCCAGCAAGAUAAAAAAAAAUGCAUGACUCACCAACGUGGAAUACAGACUGUCAGUAGUACACUGCACACUAAACUCAAGAUUUCUAAGCCUCAGCCUCCUCUGAACUACUUGUGGACUGCAGUGUGGCUUGUAAUCAUACUGGAGAUGGGAGAAGCUCCCUGGGCUCUCUGGAUCUCUUUCUCGCUCACACUUGCUCUUACUUCAAAGGAACCUGCAGUGGCUGUGUCAGAGAAAUCUCCUUCAGACAUUUAG
Molecule: long non-coding RNA, 808 nt
Filed under: Phasianus colchicus (ring-necked pheasant)
Lineage: Eukaryota; Metazoa; Chordata; Aves; Galliformes; Phasianidae
Description: lncRNA (ENSPCLG00000008494.1)
Source: RNAcentral